Molecule: long non-coding RNA, 10202 nt
Organism: Gasterosteus aculeatus aculeatus (three-spined stickleback)
Lineage: Eukaryota; Metazoa; Chordata; Actinopteri; Perciformes; Gasterosteidae
Source: Ensembl
AAAACACUGGCAGCUUUUCAUCCUCGAUAAGAAACAAAAAUACUUUUCUCUGCUUCAGAACGUCACAGUUCACAUCUGGGCUCCACUUCCUUCUCAUUACUGCUCCAAGGACGCAGUGAGAAACAGCCAAGGAGGAGAUAACAGCUAGCAGGUUAGCCGUUAGCAAAGGGAGGGUGCUGUUAUGACUGGUUCCAUUUCAGUUUGUAGUAAACUAUGUAACAGGUUACUGGUUAGAACAUGUGGCUGGUCAGCUGGGGAGCAGAUGUGAUGGAUCCACGGCAGCAACAUGGAAGCAAAUGUCAGGAAGGUGUGCUGGGGAAAAAGGCAGGGAUGACAGGACAAGACAGGAAGUGACGUUACCCAGGGAGACAAGAGGUAAGAAAUUACAAAAUAAAACCGUGACAGUGACAGCAAAGUCGUUGAGUUUCUUCUAAAAAGACGAAACCCAACGAACGAAUGAGACUAAAUCGAAGAGAUGAGGCAGUAAAACCCGACUCCUUCAGGCUCAGCUGGGAACCAUUACGUUCCAGUGGGUUACAGAAAUGUGCUUUCCCAGGUUUCAUGGCCCCGCCCACAGGAAGUGUUGAGGAACGUUACAAUCCGCCGCUGGAGGUUUUGAGGCGAAGAAGGAAAUCGAGCGGAGACGAAGUGGGAGAAGCUUUCUGCUGCAGAGUCCCGGUUUGGUCCCGCUUGGUGUUUCUGACAUGACCAGUUAUGUAACAAUGUUUCAGGCUUAAUGUGCACAUAGAAUGAAGCAAUGAAUAUUUCAUUCAGGCCAAAUUCAGACUUCAUGCUUUCACCACAUCUCGCCCCUCAUGGGUCACAUGUUCUCACAAUCAUCUAAAAAUACUGCAAAACACGUUGGAGAAGAGCCGGAGCAACGAUCAGAGUUCAGUGAAGUUACAAUCCGUUCAAAUCACCUUGUGAAGGUGUUGGGAACCCUGGUUCCUCCUCUGGAAUGAAGAGGAAGGUCUGUGAGGAACACUGUCCCUCAGCCUUUCCUUGACUCCUUUCCUUCCUUAACGCAAACGCCUGUCAGAUUAAAGGUUCCAGGCUUCACAUUUGGUAUUCUUGUAUUCUACUGCCAGAUCUUAACAUGUAAUUCAGUACUUUCCCACCGGGCUUCCCCCUUUCUGUUCACUAAUUAGUCUGAUUUCUUCAUCCGUCUCUGACUGAAGUGAAUAAAACUCUAAACUGCCAACUAGGAUUCCAUCGAUUGAGUCCUGUUAAAGUCGACAACACUUUACAUCCAAUUUACUUCAGUUUGAAGAGCGAGUUAUCAUGAGACUGAGAAUACAUUUCUCCACCCGAACAGGAUAAUUAGGAUGCUCGUGUGUGUGAGAGAUCAUUGGAAUCUGCUGCUGCAGCAUCGAUUACUUCUUCUAUUGAUGAAACUAAUCAGUUGGAGCUGGUUCUUCAUUUGUUAAUAUCAGAGGACCUUUAUCGGCUGCAUUAUCAGCUCCACCUGGCCGAUGCCGCCGUCUCAUUGGCUGGCCAUAACCCCGCCCCCAGCUGAAAUGAAUAAGGAAAGAGGAAGAAGACAGUGAGGAGGACGUUUGAAGGGUGCAUGUGGACGAGGAGGUGGAGGCUGCGAACUUUGAGAAGCACUAUGAAGGAACUCGUGGGGCAAAUCGGUAACUAUGACGACCUUCGUCAUCCGAUGCGUUUAUUCACCUUCACUUGCUUCUUCUCCUCUUAACGUUUAACAGGGUUUUGGUGGUUAAUGUGCAGUAGAAGAAUUGAGCCUCUCUCCUGUUCUGUUUCUCACCUCCCACCUUGCCCGUCUUCUUGCCUCACACUCUUCAUCCUCUCCUCCUCUUCCUCCUCCCUGUCUGCUGUGAAGCCCCAGAGACGCGCCGGUCCCGCCGGGACGCCGGGAAUGAAUAUUAAAGUCCAGUCUCCUCAAGUCAAACUACCGAUUCAGGGGACCGUUUUGUCUGCAGCAGCCUAUGAAAAUAUAAAAGAAAUACUGGAAACUCCUGAUGUUCGUUUUCGUUUAAAUGAAAUAGUGACUCUCAGUUAAUCCCUGUGAAGCAGACAUGGCUUCACAGGAAGUGAAUGACGAGAGCGAUCGAAGAUGUAUGAAAUGUAAAAAUAGAAAUGCAUACGAGUGCGUUGUUUAAUCGUACAUGUGAGUAUCAGUAGGAGAAAAACAUCUGUGUGCAACAAAGAGCUUUUCAGGGCGCUUCAUUCACGGCCCAGAAGAGGACGGCCGGUACAAACCCCUGAUGGAGGAUGAUUGGUGAUGAUUAAUCCAGUUAAGUUGCCGCCUUAAACCCCCCCCCCCCAAAAAAAGAAAAUCAGCCCCCUAGUACCUAAUACCUCCUGAUUGAAGGGUGGAGGCCUUCAGCCGACAAAAGGGGAGACGGAGAGUAAUUAAGGUUUCAGUUCUCCAAACCCAAACUUCCCGAGAGGCGCCGGCACUCUGAACAGAACGGAGGAGAGAUAGCAUUGAAGUGGCUAAAGAUUAGCGAGCGCUACGGACGCACCGCCAGGGACUCGGUCCAGUUGGGGCUUGCCGGCUGUCUGCGCCUCCUCCUGCAGCAGCUUUCCUGUCACAGUCUGACAGCCGCUUGGCAGCCGUCGUCUUCACUCUGGAGCUUUUUGGCCCACGAUGCACCUGGAUAACUUCCAUUCAGCCUCAACUUUAACCCUCUGAGGGCUGGAGGGGGGCGGACUGUGACAUUCCCGCUGACCACCUCUUCCACAAUCCGGGCUCCUUAGCUUCCAUCCUUUAUGCUAAGCUACGCUAACGACGUCCUGAUUAGACAGCUUCUCUCACCUGACUGGUACGUGGCUGCGUACUUAAGCCUCCCAUGCGUUAUGAGGCGCGUAAUUCUGGGAAAUAUGACAAAUGUGUAUGUUGUCAAUUCGAUCGCGGAGCCACGCCCCUCUCAGCACAUCCAGAUGUGCCAGAUGUUGCGAAUGAAAGGAAACGAUCGUAAUGGGGGGGGGGGGGACGUAAGCCAAUACAACAAAUGCAUCUUUAAAUAGAGGAAGUCUUUAUCUCAUGGAGGUCUUCAGGACCGCUUUGGGGCUCCGAGCUCCCUCUGAUGAACGGCUCGCUGGGGACCACAAGCCGUCGGCCCGUCCAUUUGUUCAGCAGACGGGCUUUUUUGUAAAGCUUCCUUCACGUCUGCUGUGGUUAGUUCCAGAGAUCGGUCCUUCUCUCUGACAUUUGCACAAAUGCUAAAGGGCCGCGCUGUUUGCUUUCCUCCGUCAUGAAGGACGAGCGAGUUCUGGCUCGGUGGCAGAGAGCUGGAAAUAUGAAUUCAGCCGGUUUCCCCUCCGCAUCCAGCCGGCCCGGGGAUGAAAUCCAUCCCUCUGUGAUGAGACAAUGAUUUGCUGAGCUCCAUUGUGGCUGCAGAGAGGCAGCAGAAGGGGAAAUUUGCAUGUAAAUGCACGACGAAAUGAUUCUGCAGCAGCAGCGAGGCGGCCUGGCGCUUCUUUUACCUCCUGAUGCAUUUGUCCCGAUGCCACAAGCACACACACACACACACAAAAGACAUUUACAUUUUAGAUUUAUAUUCCACCUCAGGUGACGCCCACAGUCCUCCGACCGAACCCCAGCAGGACGGACUGGAUGCUGAUGAUGGAUGCUGGCUCCGUGUCGUGUUGCAUGUAAAGGUUCGUUUUGAAUAGAAUAUUGACACGUGAUGCUGGAAUCUUGUAGGAAAACGCGUGCAAAAUGGGGAGUAACUAAGAAAUCGUGUUAAUCCUCGUCUUUCAAACGGUAUUGUUCACAGUCUGAGGAGCUUCAGAGGUACGAAACCCCAAAGACAACUUCAGCUGGAGGACCCGAAAAGGUUGUGCUUGAAAGACGUGUGGCACCACCCUCCUCCUCCUCCUCCUCCUCCCUUUGUCAGCCUCCAGCAGGAGUAGACGGCGCGCUCACCUCUCCGAGCCGCCGAGAAGGUCACAGUUUGACGGGCCUCCUUUAAAGCCCCCGUGUCAACGUUUAAUUACACACACCGAGCCCAGCGGCUCCAUCAAGGACAGCUCCGUGAUAAUCAAUGCUCUCAGCCAGUCGCACCCGGCUCGGGGGUCGCUCCGCUAUUAACGGGGGAGCAGAGGAGCACAGCGGGGGGCGGAAACGUGGUGGAGCUCGAGAGGAGGGUAAAGAAGACAGGGAGACGAGAAAAUCCUGACAUGUCCCUAAAAUGUCUCAGAGCGCCUCACGGUGGGUAAUUACCCUCAUUUUCCAUAUUCAUUCCUGUAUUAACUCACCUUAAUGCCAAAAUAUUACAGCCCUAAUCUCGUGCAAAUACGAACCUGUCAUGGCAGCCUUGCGUGGGGGGCAGAAACACGGCUGCCAUGUUGAUUCCAGAAGCCGAGGCUGGAAGGCGGCGGUGACGCUCGGCGCCAAACCUCCCGGAGCUUCCUGUCGAGUAACAAAAAGAAGAUCAUGAAACGUUCACCUGAAGCAGAACUUCACCCACGAGGAGCCGACAUCAGCGACCCUAACCCUCAUAUCCACCGGCCUCCACAAACCGAGGAGGUCUCAGUGGACCCUGCCUCCGCCGGAGGACCUGAAGGAGUCCACGGAGGGGAGAGGAGAUGCAUGUUUACCGGCUACAAGAAAGCUGGUUUGGAAACUUCCACUAAACAGAUAAAAGUACUUUAUCUUCAUAUCAUUUGGUGGUUUCUACUCUUAACAUUCCUUACAUGUUAAUACUAAUAUUAAUACUCAGCAACAGUGUUUGUCCAGCAUGCAGCUCCUCCUGCACGAUUAGAAGUAAAGACUCUUAGAUGAGACGGCCGAGUUUUAUAAAUACAAGUUAUGUUUCAUAACGGACCCGAACAUUAAACGUCCAACAUCAGCUCAUUCAAUCUUCACAUACUGGAGAUUAUUCCUUUAUUCUUGGAUUCAUUUAAAUCCGAACCAAUUAAAGUAAAAGGAGGACGUGGGGAGAGUGGGUCAGAUCCACUGCCCUUACCCGCCAAAAUAAAAGCUCAAAGCUGUGUGUGUGUGUGUGUGUGUGUGUACACAAUGAUCACAAGCGCAGAUGUUUAAGCUUUACAGUUUACAUCAAUCUGCAUUUCUUUUGUGGAUUCUGAAGCCGAUGAGCUGUACUGAUAUUACCCCCAAAGGGACGGGCGUGUGGGGGGGGGGGGGGGUCAAACAGCCGUCUGAUUACACGGGGACAGACGACGGCCAAUCGCGGCGCUCCUUUCCAGCGGCGGUUUAAAAAGGCCUCUUAUAGAUUUUCCCGCUGUGUCGUUACUCUUCAAUCACUGAACUACUUCAUCAAGAGCCAUCAGUCAGAAAGCAGAGCGGCUCGUAAUGACACAGGCCGCUUCCAGCCGCUGAUUCCUCCCAGGAGGGGGCCGGGGGGCCGGGGGGGGCUGGCAGCACCUCCAAAGUGCUGCGAAUUGCAUUUCAGCCACAUGUACCAGGUCAAAGGGCAACGUUUCCUUGCUGUGAUAUCUGGGCAAAUAUUCCUCUGCAUCCUUUUGUGCAAUUUGCUUCAAAACGUCCAACGUCACAAACACAUGAACAUUAAGACGCUUUUCAACGCAGGAAAAGGUGGUUCGUGUUUAAAUACGUGACGGAGCAACCUGACAUCCUGUGAAGGAGGAAGUUUAUUCUGAAAAGGCUCGUAACGUAUGAAGGAGCAUCCGUCCAACGCCAACCGCUCGGGGAAGCCGACAGCGCCGCAGCGUGACGGACAGCCAGGUUCUCGAGGGGGAAAUUAAGAAUUCUUCCAACUUCACCUCAAUUUGCUUCUAAUUAUUGAAGUGAUCAAUAAGCUCGCAGCACUCACACAUACAUGGGAGGGAGAGCGGGAGGGAGGGAUGUAAUGGGGUCAGGCCCGUCUCUGGAGAGGUCAUCAGUGUGCGUGUGCGUGUGCGAGCGCUGCUGACUCAGCAGGUCACGUGACGGCUUGGCCCAAUCCCAGAGCAGCCCACAAAUCAAAACGUCCAACGAAAACACAACGCACAGAUUGUUAAUCACUUACCAAAGGAGGCAGAGAACUGCAGGCGUCAGAGGGGAUUCUGGGUAAUUAGGGUGCAGCACAUUUAGAUCAGCAGCGUCGGGCCCCAAACCGGUCCGGAUGUCCCGAUGGAAACUGGAUCAAGUUUGGAUCCAUUUCAUUCUCACACGUUGGCUGUAAACCACACACGCACACACACACACAAAGGGGGCGGGUCGGGUCGGGGCGGCGAGGAGGCCUCAGGCCGCCCUGCAGGUGAUGCGGCGUCACAUCCAGCCACAGAAACAUGCACGGGAUUAGAUAGGCCACUUAUUCCCGGUUCAGAAGACGAGCAGGACGGAUGACACUUCAGAGGGAGAGAGAGCGCAUCUCCUUGGGGGGACGGGGGGCUUCUUCUAACUUAUUCUGAUGGCGUAUCUUCUGCCCAUCAGUCACGCACAGCUGGUAAUCCUCCACAGAGGAGAAGAACCGGGAGAGAUGGAGGGAGGGGAGUCAGGAAGAUGUGACGACGAGUAUUUACAUUUAGGGCGGAAGUUGUAGCAUGAGGGAUGAAUCCUCGAUGGGAGACGACAUCAUCAGGUUAGUCUGACAGCGAGGAGGGGGGUCGAAGAGGAACCUACCUGCUGCUCUCAGGCUGCGUGAAGCUCAGCAGGUGAUCUGGUCCCAUUAGAGAGCCGGCUUCCCACCUUCCUCACACGCUCCCAGAUGAGACGACGCAGGCUGCUCCCACAUCAGAGCCCGUCAGGAGACCAGGACGAGGGGGUGAAGAUCAGAGGAGGAGGAGGUUCCAAUCAGGAGACCAGGACGAGGGGGUGAAGAUCAGAGGAGGAGGAGGUUCCAAUCAGGAGACCAGGACGAGGGGGUGAAGAUCAGAGGAGGAGGUGCCUAUCAGGAGACCAGGACGAGAGGGUGAAGAUCAGAGGAGGAGGAGGUGCCCAUCAGGAGACGAGGACGAGGGGGUGAAGAUCAGAGGAGGAGGAGGUGCCCAUCAGGAGACGAGGACGAGGGGGUGAAGAUCAGAGGAGGAGGAGGUGCCCAUCAGGAGACGAGGACGAGGGGGUGAAGAUCAGAGGAGGAGGAGGUGCCCAUCAGGAGACCAGGACGAGGGGGCUGAAGAUCAGAGGAGGUGCCCAUCAGGAGACCAGGACGAGGGGGUGAAGAUCAGAGGAGGAGGAGGUGCCCAUCAGGAGAGGACGACAAGGAGGACAUGGAGAUUAGAGGAGGAGGAGGAGAGCAGGUCAGGUGCAGGGAUUCAAAGCUCACAGCGCAAGCUGCUAAUUGUGUGACUUCACUUCCACACCACCUCCCCCCGACCUCCCCCCAGCCUCCCCCCAUAAGCCAAUGGGCCCUUUACAUUACAGCAUCAUCCAACAAGUUAAAGACACGUUCAGGGAAGAGACAAUCAGAUAUGAAAGACGGUUGAUUUCAGAUCCAAAAGACAAAACAAAACUGUGCAGACGAGAACAUUUAAAAACAGUAAAAGUAACAAACACAAACUGAUAUAAAGUCCACUUUGACUUCUUCCUCUGGUGAGGGACCUCGUGUCCACUAAUGGAUCAACAACCAUCUACAGCCGUGCUCACAAAUACCUACAAUAAAAGCUAAAUGAACUCAAGUGUUAUUACCCCCCCCAGCACCCCCCCUUUAUCAUUCUGGUGACGCCGGAGGGCAAUUAAAGCCCCCCCGUCCCCUCCGUGACAGCGGGACAAAUGGAUUUCAGCGCAGUUCAUGAAUUCAAAGAUGAUGAAAUUGCCAAUAAUUGCUUGUGCGUGAGUCAAUGCAGAAAUAUUCUUCUUCAUCAGCGGCUCCGACACGAUGCUCCUCUCCCUCCCUCCCUCCCUUCCUCCUUCCUUACUUCCUCCCUCCCUUCCUCCCUUCCUCCCUACCUCCCUUCCUUCCUUCGCCCUCUCGCAUGGAAACCGCUGCAGAUUGUUUCCUAACGAGCUGCACGCGGAGUGAGACAAGACAUCUGCGUCCGUCUGCGUCCGUCUGACCCUACAACCGGUUACCGCGGCAACCGCGAUAAGCCCCGCUUCCUCCUGACCACCGAGCCACUUACGGACACCUCCAUCAUUAUCCCAAGGUGCUUUUCAAUGAGGAGGGUGUCUGUCUGUCUCCCCUUCUUCUUUAGCACUUUGGAGAGUGUGUGUGUGUGUGUGUGUGUGUGUGUGUGUGUGUGUGUGUGUGUGUGUGUGUGUGUGUGCGCCCAUACAAGUCAAUGAGGUCGUCACUAAAGCUCUGAAUAUCAAAUAGUGCUACAAACGCUCAUCCGGAUGAUGUCACGGGUUUCUAAAGCCACAAUGUGGCUUCUUUCUUAUUUGCAGUCAUCCGAUGGUGCGAACGUGUCGUGUGACCUCGUCUGAUUAAAGCCACCGUCUCUUUGGUUCAGGUGCUUUGAAUGCAGCUUUUGUGGUGAAAUAAAUGUGUUUUUGUGCAUGAUUUGUGAACAUAGAAUCAACCAGAAGCAUCUUCCGUAGAAACAAUAUGUGUUUCACUCAUUCAUUCCCUAAAACAUUACUACGUCUUCUCGGUUGUAAUGUCAAUGUUCAUAAAGCAAAGUCAGCAGUGAUUUUAUUGUGACAUCAUUUUAAUUAUUACAUUACAUUAUUUAACUGACGCUUUUAUCCAAAGCGACUUGCGUUACACUUUAAACUCACGGCUCUUACAUUUUGCCCGGGGAGCAGUUAUGGGUUUGGUGUCUUGCUCAGGGACAUCUGUCUUCAACAUGGGACAUGGAGCAGCCAGGACUCGAACUACCAACCUUGCGGUCCCCGCACACCCUCUCUGCACCUGCGCCACGACGGUUCUUUUGAUAUUUGACAUUUUGACAUUUAAGAUAUACAAAGUGCAGAUUUGCUUUAUAAAAUCAAACGCAAAAGACAGUUUGUUGUCUUUGCAUGAACAGAUGUUCAGAUCAUGAAGCCAGCAGAGUGUUUAUGUAAUAUUUCAAAUGUUAAAACAAUAAAUCGACCCUUAAAUCUUGACAUGAAUUUCUUCUGCGUUGAUUCGGAUCAUCAGACUUCAACUCGAGUCAAUCAUUCAUCGUUUUUUUUUUACCGAUUUAAAGUGUUUCAUUAAUAUUUUAUUGCCAUCAUAAAGAGGCCCACUUUAAUCUGAUUUUAUUUGUAUUCAUAACCUUCAUUACCGUGUUUUUCCUCCCCUGUUUGCUCUGUAAUCUGUGCUCCUCCUCACUGCCGCUGUUAACAAACUAAUUCUCCUUCUGGGCUCAAUAAAAAACUGGAAAGAAAAACCGAUUCAGAUUCCAGAGGCGUCUGAGAGUAGAAAACAACAAAGGAUUAACAUGGCAAACUUCUUCAAAUAUGCUUUGUCCGAUCAGGAAACAGAUCAUGUCCCAGAGUCAGAGGAGAAGCAGAAACAUCUAAAUGUCAUUUGUUUUAUUUGUGAUUCACUGUUUCCCUCUUGAUUCGUUAAUCGACAUCUGACGUGUGAAUGAGCUUCGGUAGAAGCAGCUUCUGAGCCUGAGAGCACCAUCACUCGCCUUCUACGUCACUCAUCUUCAGACGGCCGGGGGGGGGCGGCUCCAUUGGACUGGUCACAUGGAGACACACAAUCACACACCUUUAACCUUUAACCUUUAACCCUCCACCCCAAGAACUAGAGACUAUUUCCCACAGCGCCGAUGCAGCGUGGAGAGAUCUGUCAGCGCGACCCCACGUGAUACGGGACGCACUGCUCAUAUAAGAAUGAUGUAGCUUUACAGCUACGGGGGAACAAAGGGAUGAACCGGUCCUGAAGGGGGGGGGGUCCAUCAGACAAAAUGUCUGUCGCUGUGGAACUGUAAUUGGCCCUCGCAGCAGAGAGCGCGUCCUGCCUGACCCCCAGCGCGCUCUGCUUUCCUGUUUCUUUUAAUGGAGUCUGUCUCCCUUCAUGUGCCCCCCCCCCCUCCUCCUCCCUGACAGCGGCCUGUCUGCGGAUCGCUGGCAGGAAGUGGUGUCAGGAAGCGGUUAGUUUAGCGAGGUGGAGGGAAGGUAGCUGGUGGCGUCCAGGCGGCUGUCAUGAGGCCGAACCCCCCCCCUUCCCCCCACCCGCCCCGGACCCCCUCCUCAGCUCUGGACAUGACAGGGAGGCCGGCGGAGUGUCAGCGGGACGCCCCCCCCCUGUCAUGUCUGUCACGCCCGGCGGUACAGGAAGUCAUGUUACGGAACAGUCGGCCUUUCUAAAAAAGUUUCUUUCACAACCUGCAAGUGAAGGACGUCCCCUCGAUGUCCUCAGACCAGCCCCCCGGCCCCCCGGCCCCCGCAGGCC